Molecule: ribosomal RNA, 465 nt
Filed under: uncultured bacterium
Lineage: Bacteria
Description: bacterial SSU rRNA
Rfam family: Bacterial small subunit ribosomal RNA
Source: RNAcentral
UCCCAGACUCCUACGGGAGGCAGCAGUGAGGAAUAUUGGUCAAUGGGCGCGAGCCUGAACCAGCCAAGUCGCGUGAGGGAAGACGGUCCUAUGGAUUGUAAACCUCUUUUGUCGGGGAGCAAAAGACGCCACGCGUGGCGUUCCGAGAGUACCCGAAGAAAAAGCAUCGGCUAACUCCGUGCCAGCAGCCGCGGUAAUACGGAGGAUGCGAGCGUUAUCCGGAUUUAUUGGGUUUAAAGGGUGCGUAGGCGGACGCUUAAGUCAGCGGUAAAAUCGCGGGGCUCAACCUCGCUCCGCCGUUGAAACUGGCGUUCUUGAGUGGGCGAGAAGUAUGCGGAAUGCGUGGUGUAGCGGUGAAAUGCUUAGAUAUCACGAAGAACUCCGAUUGCGAAGGCAGCAUACGGCAGCGCUACUGACGCUGAAGCUCGAAGGCGCGGGUAUCGAACAGGAUUAGAUACCCCGGUA